This 578-nucleotide ribosomal RNA is filed under the name uncultured bacterium. RNAcentral's name for it is "bacterial SSU rRNA". It matches the Rfam family "Bacterial small subunit ribosomal RNA", at positions 102 to 676 of the family's 1533-position model. The record is from RNAcentral.
ACGGGUGAGUAAUGCUUGGGAAUCUGGCUUAUGGAGGGGGAUAACUACGGGAAACUGUAGCUAAUACCGCGUAAUAUCGAGAGAUUAAAGGGUGGGACCGCAAGGCCACCUGCCAUGAGAUGAGCCCAAGUGGGAUUAGGUAGUUGGUGAGGUAAAGGCUCACCAAGCCGACGAUCCCUAGCUGGUCUGAGAGGAUGACCAGCCACACUGGAACUGAGACACGGUCCAGACUCCUACGGGAGGCAGCAGUGGGGAAUAUUGCACAAUGGGGGGAACCCUGAUGCAGCCAUGCCGCGUGAAUGAAGUAGGCCUUCGGGUUGUAAAGUUCUUUCGGUAGCGAGGAAGGCAUUUAGUUUAAUAGACUAGAUGAUUGACGUUAACUACAGAAGAAGCACCGGCUAACUCCGUGCCAGCAGCCGCGGUAAUACGGGGGGUGCGAGCGUUAAUCGGAAUAACUGGGCGUAAAGGGCACGCAGGCGGUGACUUAAGUGAGAUGUGGAAGCCCCGGGCUUAACCUGGGAAUUGCAUUUCAUACUGGGUCGCUAGAGUACUUUAGGGAGGGGUAGAAUUCCACGUGU